This 371-nucleotide ribosomal RNA is filed under the name uncultured organism. RNAcentral describes it as "bacterial SSU rRNA". It matches the Rfam family "Bacterial small subunit ribosomal RNA", at positions 526 to 896 of the family's 1533-position model. The record is from RNAcentral.
CGUAGGGACCAAGCGUUGUUCGGAUUUACUGGGCGUAAAGGGCGCGUAGGCGGCGUGUUAAGUCAGCUGUGAAAUCUCCAAGCUUAACUUGGAACGGUCAGCUGAUACUGAUGUGCUAGAGUGCAGAAGGGGCAAUCGGAAUUCUUGGUGUAGCGGUGAAAUGCGUAGAUAUCAAGAGGAACACCUGAGGUGAAGACGGGUUGCUGGGCUGACACUGACGCUGAGGCGCGAAAGCUAGGGUAGCAAACGGGAUUAGAUACCCCGGUAGUCCUAGCCCUAAACGAUGAAUACUUGGUGUCUGGAGUUUUUAUCUCCGGGUGCCGUCGCUUAACGUUUUUAGAUUCCGCCUGGGGAGUACGCACGCAAGUGUG